UUCUGAUACCUUGCUCAUAUAUGUUUUAAUAUAAUGAUCAUGAUCUUUUCUUUUCUUUAUUUUUCCUCUUCUUCUUCUUCUUUUUUCUAAAUCUUUUAUCUUUUAUCUUCACAAAUUCUUGCAACAUUUAUGCAUGGAGGAGCCAUAAUGGCAAACAUCGAGCCCAAUAGCUCACCAGUUGGGUUGACAUUAAUUAAUUAAAAAUAUUUUAGUAAUAAAGAAAUUUUAUAAAAAUUGAUGUAAUACGACAGAUUGAAAUCUAUCGUAAUAUAUAAAAUUAUUUCAAUAAUUUAUAAAAAUUCUUUUUAGCUGUAAUAUUUAUCUCAAAUAAUUGGGAGUAUGCAUAUUGUUCCAUCCCAAGCUUGGGCUACAACGAUUGGGACAUAAACCUAAUUAUACAGUACUAAAUUGGGCCAGCUUAAGGCCAUACUAGCUUUCCUUGAUUGAGUUGGAAGGGGUAUUUCAGCUCAUUAUUUUGAUAGCGUACGUAAUAUUCUGCAUAUAUAUAUAUAUAUGAAAGUCUUACAAAAAUUAAAGUGCCGAUCCGUUAGAAUGUACUCAAGAAAGAACAAAAUGAUGAAAACGAAAUCGGACGUCACAGCUAGCAACGAUGAAUAUCGAUAUUCUAUAGCCGAUCGAGCACGAAACCAGUGGAUGGGAACCCAACCCAUGAUAUUUUCCAUGAUGCAUGGAGAGGGCACACGAAACAUAAAGUAAAAAGAGACAUGGAUACUCUGAACAAGCACACCAUAACUUGCAGAAAGUAUCAUGCAGCAUACAAGUUGGUGAAAUACGAGAUACAACAGCUGAAAAGUAUAAAGCACUGACACGGGAAAGUAAAGCAACAGAAAAGCAUGUGAAGCAUGCAUUGACAGCUGAAUAGAAGGCACACAAUUGCAGAUAAAGUCAUGUGAAGCAGCAUUUUAGGUUGUCAUGAAAAGUAAUGUCUUGGAUUACUGGUAAAUUAGCAGAAAAUAAAAAGUUAACUUUAGGACUCAUUUCCCUUGUCUUUCUGUUUUUCUGUAAUCUAUAUAUAUGUGUGUAAUAGAUCAUUGUAUGUAGUUAGUUGAGUUAAUAAGAAUCCUUUUUCUCUACAUCAAGGCUUUAUUUCGA
Carya illinoinensis is the source of this 1113-nucleotide long non-coding RNA. RefSeq lists it as uncharacterized. NCBI's taxonomy places the organism in Eukaryota, Viridiplantae, Streptophyta, Magnoliopsida, Fagales, Juglandaceae. The transcript has 2 exons. The record is from RefSeq and is a predicted model, not a curated record.